GUACAUAUGUACACAUACUAAAAUCGGAAUGAUACAGAGAAGAUUAGCAUGGCCCCUGCUCAAGGAUGAUAUGUAGAUUUGUGAAGCAUUCAUAUUUUAG
Small nuclear RNA from Capra hircus (goat), 100 nucleotides. The record is from Ensembl. NCBI's taxonomy places the organism in Eukaryota, Metazoa, Chordata, Mammalia, Artiodactyla, Bovidae.